GGCCCGUUAGUGCAGUGGCCAAGCACGCCUGGUUCUCAGCCAGGUAACACCGGUUCGAAUCCGGUACGGGCUG
RNAcentral lists this transfer RNA (73 nucleotides) under Curtobacterium sp. MCBD17_040. It matches the Rfam family "tRNA". Rfam says of the family: Transfer RNA (tRNA) molecules are approximately 80 nucleotides in length. Their secondary structure includes four short double-helical elements and three loops (D, anti-codon, and T loops). Further hydrogen bonds mediate the characteristic L-shaped molecular structure. tRNAs have two regions of fundamental functional importance: the anti-codon, which is responsible for specific mRNA codon recognition, and the 3' end, to which the tRNAs corresponding amino acid is attached (by aminoacyl-tRNA synthetases). tRNAs cope with the degeneracy of the genetic code in two manners: having more than one tRNA (with a specific anti-codon) for a particular amino acid; and 'wobble' base-pairing, i.e. permitting non-standard base-pairing at the 3rd anti-codon position. The record is from Rfam by way of RNAcentral. Lineage: Bacteria; Bacillati; Actinomycetota; Actinomycetes; Micrococcales; Microbacteriaceae.